Molecule: ribosomal RNA, 491 nt
Filed under: uncultured bacterium
Lineage: Bacteria
Description: partial 16S ribosomal RNA
Rfam family: Bacterial small subunit ribosomal RNA
Source: RNAcentral
AGUGAACGCUGGCGGUAGGCCUAACACAUGCAAGUCGAACGGCAGCACAGUAAGAGCUUGCUCUUACGGGUGGCGAGUGGCGGACGGGUGAGGAAUACAUCGGAAUCUACUUUUUCGUGGGGGAUAACGUAGGGAAACUUACGCUAAUACCGCAUACGACCUACGGGUGAAAGCAGGGGAUCUUCGGACCUUGCGCGAUUGAAUGAGCCGAUGUCGGAUUAGCUAGUUGGCGGGGUAAAGGCCCACCAAGGCGACGAUCCGUAGCUGGUCUGAGAGGAUGAUCAGCCACACUGGAACUGAGACACGGUCCAGACUCCUACGGGAGGCAGCAGUGGGGAAUAUUGGACAAUGGGCGCAAGCCUGAUCCAGCCAUACCGCGUGGGUGAAGAAGGCCUUCGGGUUGUAAAGCCCUUUUGUUGGGAAAGAAAAGCAGCAGGUUAAUACCCCGCUGUUCUGACGGGACCCAAAGAAUAAACACCGGCUAACUUCGG